This 8908-nucleotide long non-coding RNA is filed under the name Capsicum annuum. RNAcentral's name for it is "long non-coding RNA (CANN_LNC015944)". The record is from RNAcentral. Lineage: Eukaryota; Viridiplantae; Streptophyta; Magnoliopsida; Solanales; Solanaceae.
ACAAAUACUAAACUUAGUCAAACGGUUAAUAUUGAGAAUCUGCAAAAUGAUUCCUUUCUGGGAAUGUUGCAAAUCGUUACUGCUCAUAAAUGGUAUAUUAAUUGUACCAUUUUAGUAAAUAAGGAAUUCUUUAUCACUAAUGUCGCCAUGAUUGACAGCGGGGCAGACGUUAGUUGUAUUCAAGAAGGGUUAAUCCCUACAAAAUAUUUUGAAAAAACCACUCACCUCGUUAAAUCUGCAACGGGUCACUCGCUUGACAUUAAUUAUAAACUGCCUCAUGCUCAUAUUUGUCGUGACAAGAUAUGCAUUCCUCACUUUUUCUUUUUAGUGAAAAAUCAGAUUUAUCCUCCUAUUAUUUUAGGAACCCCGUUUAUAAAUGCUAUAUAUCCCUACACUCAUAUAGACGAAAAGGGAUUUAGAGCUACUUAUAAAAAUCAGCCUAUUUCUUAUUCUUUUGUUACUCAACCUGUAACUCGUGAUAUUAAUGCUCUUAUUAAUAUAAAGCAAAAACAGCUCAAUUUUUUACAAUUAGAAGUACUGAGUAUUACUACCCCUGAGAUUAUAAAAUCUGUUAAAGUACAAGAAAAAUUAAAGACUGUUUCUUCACAAUUAAUGAAUGAUAUUUGUGCUGACCAUCCAAAUGCUUUCUGGAAUAGAAAAAAGCAUAUUGUUUCGCUUCCUUAUGAGGACGGCUUCACUGAAGAAAAAAUUCCAACAAAAUCUCGACCCUGUCAAAUGAAUGCAGAGUUAGUUGAAUUCUGCAAAAGGGAGAUUGAUCAACUCCUGCAAAAGGGUCUCAUUAAACCCUCAAAAUCCCCUUGGUCUUGUACCGCUUUUUAUGUUAACAAUGCUGCCGAAAAAGAAAGGGGUACACCUCGGUUAGUCAUCAAUUACAAACCUCUUAACAAAGUUUUAAAAUGGAUUCGAUAUCCUAUUCCAAAUAAAAAAGAUUUACUUUCCCGAUUAUAUGACGCUAACAUAUUUUCCAAAUUUGAUUUAAAAUCAGGAUAUUGGCAAAUUCAAAUUGAUAAAACUCAUACUUAUAAAACCGCGUUUAAUGUUCCGUUUGGACAAUAUGAAUGGAACGUUAUGCCUUUUGGUUUGAAAAACGCCCCUUCUGAAUUUCAGAAAAUUAUGAAUGAUAUUUUUAAUCCAUACAUGGACUUCAUUGUUGUGUAUAUUGAUGAUAUUCUGGUAUUCUCCAAAACUCUUGACAAUCAUUUUAAACAUCUGCAUAUUUUUAAGCAAGUAAUUAUUCAAAAUGGCUUAGUUAUCUCUAAAUCAAAAAUGAGUUUGUUCCAGACUAAUGUUAGAUUCUUAGGUCAUAAUAUUUGUCAAGGCUCUAUUGAACCGAUCCAACGGGUCUUAGAAUUCGCUACAAAAUUCCCCGAUGAAAUUAUCGAUAAAAAACAGCUUCAAAGGUUCCUUGGUAGUCUCAAUUAUAUUUCUCCUUUUUAUAAAAAUUUGUCUAGAGAUUUAGCCCCUCUGUAUGACAGACUGAAAAAGGAUCACAAAACUCCGUGGACUCCAGCCCACACUAAUUUGGUAAAGGUAAUUAAAGCUCGGGUUCAAUCUCUUCCCUGUAUUUCUCUUGCUAAUCCUAAUUGGCAAAAAAUUGUUGAAACCGACGCUUCCAAUAUUGGGUAUGGUGGAAUACUUAAACAAGUUAAUCCCCAUACAAAGACAGAAUGUUUAAUUCGUUUUUAUUCAGGUAAAUGGACCGAUAGCCAAAAGAAAUACGCUACGAUAGCCCAUGAAAUGCUUACUAUUGUUAAAUGUGUAUUAAAAUUCCAAGAUGAUUUAUAUAAUCAAAAAUUCAUCAUCAGAACGGAUGCUCAAUCUGUUAAAUUCAUGUUUGAUAAAGAUUUUAAACACGAUGCUUCUAAAUUAAUAUUUGCCAGGUGGCAGGCUCAACUAGCCCCCUUUGACUUUGAAAUACAGUAUAAAAAGGGUAAUGAAAACUCCUUACCUGAUUUUCUAUCAAGAGAAUAUUUAACAUGACAAUCUAUACUACCUUUCUCUCUGAAAAAUCAUUGAUUACCAUCCUUAAAAUUAUCCCUUUACCCCCUGAUAUUCAAAAACACAUUUUAGAACUUCUAAUUACUAAACUUAUUCAGGAUGACGCCUGGUGGUAUAAUUUUAUUCACAGCGAAUUCUGGUGGUAUGCCCGUCUUCAAAAUCCUGAAGAAAUUAGUGAUUGGUACGAUAUUGAUAUUUCUGAUCAUUAAUUGCAGAAUGACAGAUCCUCCCUGGCAGACAGCCAGAGGACGUGGUCGUGGCCGACACCAAAAUCCUGCAUAUUCGCAAUACGGAGGACGAACCAAUCCGGCAUAUUUCCACCAAAGAAGUACAGCCAGAAGCUCUGCAUAUAGCACAUCAAAUUCUAAUUUCCCUGUCCUGCAACAAGGAAAUAAAACUCUGAUUAAUUCGAGAAUAUCUCAGGAUGAGGCCUCCUCCUCUCACAUUCAAACUCCGAAUAUUAAUCUGGAUGAUAUUCCUGAAACACAUCCGUUAUUUCAGCAAAUAAAAUCAUAUUUGGCUGAAAAGGGAAAGACUGCAGAUUCGUUUGCUUCAAUUGUGACAGAAAACUCUGAAAAUAAAUUAUCUUAUGAAAAACUCGAAGCUAGAGAAAUUAUAGUUUAUUUGGAAAAUCGGCAUAUUCCUCCUACUGAAAGCUCCGACGAAGCUUGGAGAAUAUUGAAAGACUAUCUAACUGCAAAUGUUUACUUUGCAGGAGAAUCCUACAAAACCAGAACCUAUUACGAACAAAUUCUUGUCAAUACUGCCAGUGCGACAUUCGAGCACAGCCCUUUAGGAGAAUCUACUCCGGGCGUUCACGGCUACUCCAAAAUAAUUAUAAAAAAAUUGAUUCCUAUCGAAGAAUGGGGAAUUUCUUCCAUGACUCUUCGAAAUCUCCCUAUGGGACCUCAAGGGCAAACUAUUGCCAACUUUACUUAUUGGGACUACAUUAAAGCUUUUUCUCAAGUCUUUUAUUACAAUAAUUAUAAACAUAAACACACUUGGUUCGUUAAAAUAUGUUCCAAGGUAUUUGAGAAAUCAGUCCCAAACUGGUUUAUUCACUGGUGGACACAGCACGGACCAUCAGUAAAGAUUUUACCCCCUGAAUAUUUUUCCCUUUACACCUCCUGGAAAAAAUCAUCUCCAUUUUUAACGGAGUUAUAUCAUUCAGACCAUAUCUGCAAAUUAGAUACCAUCGACCAGAUGUAUUUCUAUAUUGAAUUUUCUAUUCCCUGGAUCCAUAAAUGGUCGAUCGAAAUUGGUUAUGAUUCCCAACAAAUCCCAGCCAUCUACCGUACUUUUUAUUGCAAUUUCUGGGAUAAACUCUUACGAAUUGAUCCUGCAACUAAACUGCCUUAUGGGCAUGAUCAACGAGAAGAAAUAAAGCAAACAAUCGCUGCCUAUGCACAACACCCUAAAAUGAGUAUUCUUAUUGAAGAUAAAUCCAUCAACUAUGUCUCCAGACGAAUAUCAGCUCACGACGGCAAUAAGCUCCAAAUGAUUGAAGAAUAUUUGGCUGAAGUUAAGAACAAACUGCUGCUUAACAUCGAACAAUCUUCAGAUACUUCUAUGAAUAGCACUGAGGCAAAUACGGAUGAUAUCACAGAUUCUCAGCCUCCUGAAACACUCAAUGAAGAAGAAGUAUUAGCCAAUGCCGCCGAAUUUCUAAAGUGGGGACAAAAUACCAAGUAAAUACUGUUGUAAUAACAUUAUUUGAAAAACACUACUGUAAUAGUAAAAAUACUGUAGAAACACUGUGCACAGGGACCCAUGUAUUACUGUGCAAGAUUCUUUAUCUUUCUAUAUAAGAUGCCUCAUUUUCUUCAAAGGGGCAGAAGUAGAAAAAAAUCUCUCUUGUAUAUUUCUCUCUUGUAAACAAGGUCUUGUGGAAAUAAAGAAAGUUUUGUGAAUAGUAUUCCGGCGAAUCUCCAGGAAGGUACAUCUAUAUUUAAUUUUUACUUUUGUUAUCUAUAUUUCUCCCAGAUCUACGCCGUGACUAUGUCCGGCUAAACUCCUUUUUUAUGUUCAUACAACAGUUCUAACCUCUCGACAUAUAUAAACUAUGAAAGAUCCAGACUCUACUUAGAUAAUACAAGAAGUUUUAUCGUUUCCCGACUUGGUUCCGAAAUGGAGGUACAGUCGAGAUCGACAGUUUUACGAUAGCUCUGUCUCUGUGACUCCGUCUAGUGAGUUGUGCCUUUGAAGCCCGUACACCUGAAAAGAAAGGGCAAUUUUUGCACAAUUAGAACUACUAGACAUAUGGGCUAACAAGAAACUGUUUGAUUUCUGACAGGCCCCUUGUUCGGGUAAAAGGAUUUACCAUACAGUCAGAAACUUCGAAACUUCUUUAUUAUUUCGGUUGGUGCUUCGGUUCGGUUUUCCGACUUUAGCUUAAUCCGAUAUUAUUGAUGGUCUGGUAGGCUGAGCGGCAUACCCCAGCCUAAGAGAUCCUGAAAUGGUAUCAGAGCCUGGGAACUUUCAUAGUAUGUAUACUAGAGAUGGCGAAAACAGUUUGUAUGAGCAUAAAAAAAAAUUAUUAAUUCAUGGAUAUGGGUGAAGUUAGUACGAAAAGUACUAAACUUGAAGAGGUAGAUUUGCCUCAAAACAUAGAUCUUCUGAAUAAAUGGACUAUUCCAAAGGUUGAAAUAAAGACUAUUUAUGAAUAUGGAUUUUUUGAUAAAAUCAAACACAAACAGAUUAUUAAAACCUCAGAACAAUCUCUUGCUCUAAAUGCGGAAGAACAGACUAUUCAACUUCUGCACAAGCGAGAUAUUGACAUUUUUAAACGCAAUUUUAACUAUAUGCAUAUUGGCCUUGUACAAAUUGCUUUUCGACCUCUAACCUUAAAGGGUCUUCCUGAGACAUUUUUAGCCGCUCUACGAGAUGCUAGAAAUUUAAAUUUCAGAAAAUCUCUUAUGGGUUCAGUAGAAUCCACUCUUGCAUACGGCCCUGUUUAUUUUAAUACUCAGCCAAAUUUAUUACUAUCGUUAACUGAUGUUAAUAUUCUUCAUGCCUUAACUCUGAAUAUUAAAACUCAUGGUUAUAAUUAUGCCCCUGGAUCUGAGCUUAUUGGUUUAUCUUACCGCAUUUAUUAUCGGUUAUUAUCUACUUUAAAUCCCCGUUGUAAGUUGAUAGAUGAUAAUACCGAUUGUACUCUUCUUAUUGAGACUAAUUUUAUCAAAUCCAAAAUAACUACCCGACGACCUAUUCGAUGGGAUGAAAUAGAUUUCCCUCAGACUUGGGUCUUAAAUUCGGUUACUUCCCCAAAACAAUUGGCGGAUGAAGUAACUAAUUCUGAGUUAACUCAUGUAACUCAAAACUCUGACGGACAGAUUUGUCUACAAUUUGACAAUAGUCUUCCGGUUUAUCGAAACUCUUUCUCCAUGUCUCGAAAACUUCCUCAAAUUCAGCAUAUCUCUCCGAUCGAACCAUCUACUCCACCAGAAUAUGGCCCAGCUAGAAAUCGCGCCGCAUCUUUGCAUACUUUAAAUUCUACUACGCCUCAUACUACACCUAGACAUGUAGAAAAGAUUAAAAUCAACCCCAAAACAAAUAUUGUUCAAGAUUUUGAUAACGAAAAUCCUACUCCUUCCGAGAUGGAAUUCGACAUUAAUUCUGUUUAAUCAUGAUAGGACAACUUAUUGAUUUUAGUCCUGGUUCUCAGGCAAGAAAAUAUAUUCAAAAAGAAUUUUUUACUGAAAAAUGGACCAACUUUAGGACUUGGUUUUUUGAAACCUAUACUCAAGAUGAAUUACGAAAUAUUUCUGAAGAAUUUUAUGAAAUGUGUGUUCUGCAUAAUCAAAUUAUCUUUUUUGUUCCUUGGUUUAUGUCAGCUUAUUUGCCGUCGUAUAUCAAGCUUAUAGAACGUUCUUACCAAAAUCCUGACGGUACAGUCACUCAAGCCUGCUAUCCUCCUCAAUCGUCAUUCAUUCUCCCAAACAACACAGGCCUAACGUUUUCAGCCUUUCAAAAAUUUAUUCAUGACGAUGUGGGAAAAAUUACUGUCUCUGAAAUAAAUAACCUUAUAUCUCAAAAUAAUUAUUUAAGUCUAUAUGUUAAAGUUCUCGGUGAACAUAUUUCCUCUCUGGAUACCAAACUCGAUGAACUUAUUGUUCUGGUAACUCAGCUUAGUGCAAAACUUAAUUCCACUGAUAUUCCUUCUACUUCCAAACAACCUGUUAAUGAAGGAAUCAUUCUUUCUAAACCUUGUAUUCAACGACCCCUAGAAAUAGAGGGAUUUACUAAGGCUUCGCCCCUAGAACAGCUAGAAACUCUUUUGGAUAAAAAAUUCUCUAGACUCAAUAUCCAACCUCUGACUAUGUCCACAGAUCAUAUUCCAACUAUUGAGUCAAAUUUUGCGGAUCAUCUCGCAUCCUCCGAUCAUCCAGAAGAAGUUCUCUCUUCCGAACUUUAUAAACUCAGAGGGCUAAUAAAACCACAAUCCGGAAAAAAAUUCGCAGAUAUUCCCCGCAUGUCUACCGCUUAUUAUCCUCGUCCCACUCCUCAAGAUGUUCUGAUCGAAGAAAGGGAUUGGAAUCAAACAAACACUUCGUAUAGCGGCGACGCUAUUUACGAAUGGAAUAUUGAUGGUCUUUCUGAUCGCCAAAUCUCUAUUCUAAUUCAUCGUAUGUCCAUGUAUGCUACUAUUUGUCUGGCCACAAAAGCCACUGAUAGAAACGCCAAAACUGACCAAACAAUCUGUAAAAUGAUUGUUGCUGGGUUCACUGGUCAACUCCGUGGCUGGUGGGAUAAUUUCCUUGAUGACACUAAACGCGCGGCGAUUUUUGACGCCACCAAUGACAAAGAGGGCAAAGAUAAUCUUGGCCGCACUCUUGCAGCAGGCCGAUCUGAUGCCGUUUAUACCCUCAUGCUGACUAUUAUUGAACACUUUGGCGGUAGGUUCACUAAUCAUCAUGAAAAUAUUCGCACUCUUCUUAAUGGGUUAAAAUGCCGCCACUUAGGCGAAUUUCGUUGGUAUAAAGAUACCUUUCUUAGCCGGGUUAUGGAUUUACCCGAAAGUAGAUACGAACACUGGAAAGCCAAAUUCAUUGAUGGUCUUCCUCCCCUUUUUGCGGAACGUGUUCGCAAAACUCUUCGCGGAUCUUAUGGUGAGAUCCCCUAUGCUGACAAAACUUAUGGUCAAUUGAUCGUAGCUUGUACUCAAGAAGGGUUAGCCCUUUGUAACGAGUUAAAACUGGCUAGACAGAUCAAAAUUGAUAAACUCCGAGAAAAAACUCAAUUAGGUAAUUUCUGCGAACAAUUUGGCAUGGAAAAACCCUUAAUUCGAAAACCUUACAAAUCUUCCACAUAUCAAUCUAAACGUCCUCGGCGACGUAGUAAGGAGCAGCGAGAAAUUCGUAAAUCCUUCCGAAAAUCUACUCGAUUUGCUAAAAAUCGUUCAAAACGAGACUUAGCAAAGAUUAAAUGCUACAAAUGCAAUCAAUACGGUCAUAUUUCUCCAAAUUGUAAAUUACAAAAAUUAAAAACCCUGAAUCUCUCUGAUGACAUUCAGAAUCAAGUCUAUAAUUUGUUGUACACUUCUGAUUCUGACUCCGAUUCAGACUCCACUUCUGAAAAUGAUUUUCAACUACCUGACUCUGAUAAUCAUCUUGAACAACCUGAAAAAUGUGUUGAUUGUGAUAAUCAUGAUUGCAAUUGUGAUGAAGUAAUGUACAAACUUCAAGCUCAAUUUGAAGAUGUUGAUUUAGAUGUUAAAACCAUUACUUCUGAAAAUGUUCUCGAAUUGUUAAAGGAAGUCACGGACGAAAAGCUUCGUGACAAAAUUUUGCAUUUAGCCACUCCAAAAUCUUCUAGUUCUACUGUUUCAGCACGAGAUAAUUUUGAAACUCAGCCUAUGGCAUAUUCUUUGGAUGAAGUUCAUCGAAGGUUAGCUUUAAGCAAAAUUCCCGGUCGCGAUACCACUUUUAAUGAUUUAAAAAUCGAAGUUGAAAAACUAAAAAGGGAAAUUAUUUCUUUAAAACAAAAUCAGAUAAUUACUGAGCAUCGCAUUUCGAAACUUGAAGAAACUGAUUGUUCUUCUUCAGGUCACAAGCCAAACGAAAAAGAUUUUACAAAUACUGAUCUUAGUCAAACGGUUAAUAUUGAUAGUCUGCAAAAUGAUUCCUUUCUAGGAAUGUUGCAAAUCGUUACUGCUCAUAAAUGGUAUAUUAAUUGUACCAUUUUAGUUAAUAAGGAAUUCUUUAUCACUAAUGUCGCCAUGAUUGACAGUGGGGCAGACGUUAGUUGUAUUCAAGAAGGGUUAAUCCCUACAAAAUAUUUUGAAAAAACUACUCACCUCGUUAAAUCUGCAACUGGUCACUCACUUGACAUUAAUUAUAAACUGCCUCAUGCUCAUAUUUGUCGUGACAAGAUAUGCAUUCCUCACUUUUUCUUUUUAGUGAAAAAUCAGAUUUAUCCUCCUAUUAUUUUAGGAACCCCGUUUAUAAAUGCUAUAUAUCCCUACACUCAUAUAGACGAAAAGGGAUUUAGAGCUACUUAUAAAAAUCAGCCUAUUUCUUAUUCUUUUGUUACUCAACCUGUAACUCGUGAUAUUAAUGCUCUUAUUAAUAUAAAGCAAAAACAGCUCAAUUUUUUACAAUUAGAAGUACUGAGUAUUACUACCCCUGAGAUUAUAAAAUCUGUUAAAGUACAGGAAAAGUUAAAGACUGUUUCUUCACAAUUAAUGAAUGAUAUUUGUGCUGACCAUCCAAAUGCUUUCUGGAGUAGAAAGAAGCAUAUUGUUUCACUUCCUUAUGAGGACGGCUUCACUGAAGAAAAAAUUCCAACAAAAUCUCGACCCUGUCAAAUGAAUGCGGAAUUAGUUGAAUUCUGCAAAAAGGAGAUUGAUCAUCUCCUGCAAAAGGGUCUCAUUAAACCAUCAAAAUCCCCU